GACAUAGACUGACUAUGUGACCCCAGAGCAAGGCACCUAACAUUUCAGUGCUUGAGACAACUCACAAAGACUACAGAUUGCUCAGAAGAUGCCAACAUGCACUGGAAAAGAGUUUCUUCCUGUGCUAUCCUGGUCCCUCCAGUUGUAUAGGCAACUCCCUUCCCACAUUUUCUACAAGUCACUGACAUGAGACAUCUAUCAUGCAGUUGUCCUCAGUCUCUGUGACAUCCGUGCCAUAUGCCAACUGGGACUUUUUCUCAUAGAAAACAUGAAUCAAGGCUGACCUUGAGACUGAGCUCUGACAUGUAUAGGCAGCUGUAACCUCGG
RNAcentral lists this long non-coding RNA (327 nucleotides) under Monodelphis domestica (gray short-tailed opossum). RNAcentral's name for it is "lncRNA (ENSMODG00000049122.1)". The record is from RNAcentral. Lineage: Eukaryota; Metazoa; Chordata; Mammalia; Didelphimorphia; Didelphidae.